This is a long non-coding RNA of Gallus gallus (chicken), 1049 nucleotides long. The record is from Ensembl. Lineage: Eukaryota; Metazoa; Chordata; Aves; Galliformes; Phasianidae.
GUUGGAUGGGGCUCUGGGUAGCCUAAUUUUGUUUGAGUGGCAUCCUUGUCCAUGGCAAGGGACUGGAGCUAGAUGAUCCUUCAGGUCUUUCCAAUCUAAGCCAUUCUAUGAUUCUGUGAUACUGUGUUUCUUUGAUAAGUUGACCAUGAAGCUUGUCAUUAAUGUUGACUAUAAAGUAACAAAGAUGGAGACACCUCUAGACUGGUUACCUGGAACUGUAAUAAAGCACACUGACUUGUUCUUACAGAAUUGGAGAGGCAGAAGGGAUGACACAGCUAUCUCACACCGGUAUGCAUAGUCACGGCUUAGGGAGGCACAAAGCAAAGUCUGUGACUGGAGGUGCCACAGUUCUCAAAGAGUACACUGCCUUCGGCUGAGAGGGGCAUUAAUACAGAGGACUGACUCCAUCCUCUGCUCGCCAUCAUCCUUCCCAGGUGCAUUCAUCAAGAGAGAAAGAUGGGAGAGGAAGCUUACCUUUCUGGUUAAGACAGAGAGAAUAACCGCAUUUUUCUUGUGCAGUGACAGAGAGCUGGAAGAAGGGGUUGUUCCUCUACUACAUUUUCAUCCAUUAAAAAAAAAGAAAAAAGAAAAAAGAAAAAAAAUAGGAAUGGACUGGAAAACCUUAAGAGAAAAAGAAAAAGAAAAAAAACCACAGGAAUCACUGCUUCCAUUCAGGCAAAAAAAAAAGGGGGGGGGAUCAUUACAAACAUCCCUAGCAGACAUGUUACACUGCUCAACACCAGUUUUCUUACCAUAUGAAACCAUCUAACACAGUUUAGUGAAGACCCAGGAAAAGAUGAAAUACUAAGUGGGAUGAGCUCUCCCCUGCUUUUAAAAAAUCAAACUAAACAUGAAGAAAGAUAUCAAACUGUUCACAACUCUGCAUUCCACAAGCUUAAACGAUAAAUGUAUUCAACCAAGUCAGUCUUUGAAACUUUUCAUUUAGCUCUGUGAAGAUAAAGAACAGAUCAGCAUUUUCAUUAAAAAAAAAUGUCAUGGCUCAUUCCUUUCUGUUAUUGAAGAGAAUGCAGCAACAUCUUUCAAAACCC